GAGUUUGAUCGUGGCUCAGAUUGAACGCUGGCGGCAUGCCUUACACAUGCAAGUCGAACGGUAACAGGUCUUCGGAUGCUGACGAGUGGCGAACGGGUGAGUAAUACAUCGGACGUGCCCGAUCGUGGGGGAGUAACGGAGCGAAGACUUUGUCUAUACCGCAUACGAUCUACGAGUGAAGACGAGGGGACCGGCCGAACGGACCGUUCGUCGCGGGACGGGACGGCGGGCCGGACGUGGCGAGAGUUAGGUUAGGUUUGGGUUGGGGUAGUAAAAGUAACUUACCUAACGACCGACCGA
RNAcentral lists this ribosomal RNA (300 nucleotides) under uncultured microorganism. Its description in RNAcentral is "bacterial SSU rRNA". It matches the Rfam family "Bacterial small subunit ribosomal RNA", at positions 9 to 267 of the family's 1533-position model. The record is from RNAcentral.